UGGGCACCAAGGCAGACCCCAAGAAAUGAAGCCCAGGCUCUGGUAAUUCCUUGGUGCUGGAUAACCAUGGAUUUUGGAUUCCCCUCACAGCUGAUCAAUGUGCUUUGGCACCUGAAUGGAUGCUUAGAGUUGUCUGUGGCAUUUUAUUCCCAACCAUAAAUUGCAGGAACCAGGGUCGUGGAGGGCUGAAAAUCAGCUGAAUUAUGUUAAAACUGAUCCCAUUGUGAAAUUAUAGAAUAUCCUGAGUUGGAAGGGACCCCCAAGGAUCAUCAAGCACAACUCCUGGCCCUGCACAGGACACACCAACAAUCCCACCAUCUGCCAGUUGAGUAUAACAAGAAAAACAGAGAUUAAAGCACAAUUCUUGGACA
Molecule: long non-coding RNA, 371 nt
Organism: Vidua chalybeata
Lineage: Eukaryota; Metazoa; Chordata; Aves; Passeriformes; Viduidae
Exons: 2
Source: RefSeq, a predicted model, not a curated record